UCCUUUGCUUCCUCAAAUUCUGCAAGUAGUAAUUUGCCUUAAUUCUUUGCUUCCUAAUUGUUCUUUUUUACUAAUUCAGAUAUAAAGGGUUCGGCUCUUGGUUCUUGGUUUUCAAAGAGCUUUUGCUUAUUAUGAUGCUGCAGGGAAGGAACAAAGAAUUUGAAGACCAAAAAAAAAAAAAAAGGAAGAAGAAGCAUAAACUGAGUGAUAAAACUUGCUCCCUUCUUUUCAUUUUGAGUCUGUUCUUUUAUUUAUCUUGGCUCAAAUAGCUUCUUAUUUUGUCUGAUAAGAAUUUGUGAAUUGUGAAUUGUGUUUGUUCAUAAUUAAUCAUAGAUGUGAAGCUUUACAGUGUUAUCAAUGAUGAAGUACUGUACCACCGGGGAGGUAGAGAUAUCAUGAGGAAAGUGAUUGUGAUCACCUCCUGCUUGCCUUGAGAUAUGGACUUUAUCAUGCAAAAGACUCUCACGGUUGCGGCGUAUAAGUGUGUUUCUGUUGAGUUUCUGUUAUUUGAGCAAAAAUCAGCCCAUUUUAGCAUUGUCCUUGUUCAAGCUUGGAUUCAGUCCUCAAAUUAUAGCAUUGAUUAUUAUGCAGGGUCAAGCAUGUGAUGCUGACAAGUAUGUUAUUGGUCUGUGGUGCAAUGGCAAUGACGUGGAUAUGUGAUACCAUUACACAUUCUACAUUUGUAAUGGAGAGAUUUGAUCUACAAAAAGCACUUUUGGCUGCUCUUUUCAAUGCUCCUGAGAGACCCAAGGAGCCGGAGCUAGAAAGACCCGAGGAGCCAGAGCUACCAAAAAAAAGAACAGUAAGAUCAAGCAAGGGUCAUUGGGAGAUCAAGCAUGGACUACCAAGCUAUACUUUCUUUCAUCAUGCAAAACUUAGGAAACUUAAAAGCUUCUUAGUCUAUGAUAUGUAUGAAUGCUUUAACAAUGUUCCUUAAAUUCAAUAUUUGAUGAAUUGAUGUAUCACAAUGCUUUUGGUACAAAUAUUGAUCAUUUGAUGGUUUGCAUUCAAUUUGUCUUCCAAUUGAUCACUAUUAUAUCCAUUCAGAA
This is a long non-coding RNA of Rosa rugosa (rugosa rose), 1049 nucleotides long. RefSeq lists it as uncharacterized. NCBI's taxonomy places the organism in Eukaryota, Viridiplantae, Streptophyta, Magnoliopsida, Rosales, Rosaceae. The record is from RefSeq and is a predicted model, not a curated record. The transcript has 4 exons.